GCCGGGCGCAGUGGCUCACACCUGUAAUCCCAGCACUUUGGGAGGCCGAGGCGGGUGGAUCAUGAGGUCAGGAGAUCGAGACCAUCCUGGCUAACACGGUGAAACCCUCUUCUCUACUAAAAAAUAGAAAAAAUUAGCUGGGCAUGGUGGCCGGCCCCUGUAGUCCCAGCUACUUUGGAGGCUGAGGCAGGAGAAUGGCGUGNNNNNNNNNNCACGCCAUUCUCCUGCCUCAGCCUCCAAAGUAGCUGGGACUACAGGGGCCGGCCACCAUGCCCAGCUAAUUUUUUCUAUUUUUUAGUAGAGAAGAGGGUUUCACCGUGUUAGCCAGGAUGGUCUCGAUCUCCUGACCUCAUGAUCCACCCGCCUCGGC
Molecule: non-coding RNA, 370 nt
Organism: Gorilla gorilla gorilla (western lowland gorilla)
Lineage: Eukaryota; Metazoa; Chordata; Mammalia; Primates; Hominidae
Source: Rfam